CUGACUGGGAAUUGAACCAGUGGCCCUUUAGUUUGUAGGCCGGCACUCAGUCCACUGAGCCACACCAGCCAGGGCUUAAAUUCAUAAUUUAAACAUUAGAAUAGAGAACAAGAAUGUGUUCUCUUUAUGUAGUACAAGUUUUGUUGGUCCUGGAUUUUUAAAAAUUCCCUUGAACACAAGACCCACCAGUUUCUGGGAUCUCUAAGGCACAGAAGUGAUCACUAUGUGGGAAAGGAAGCUGAUUUGGCCCUGCCUUAAAAAAAAAAUUCUAUGGUUCACUGCAGGCCCAAAGAUGUGGUUUCCUCACCGUCCCAAAUCUUCAAGUUAUUGUGACCUUUAGACUGACUUAAGUAGUAGAAGUGAUGGGACAAACAUACUGAAAAUCCCAGGUGUGUCCAUGGUGACUCUAUCCUGGUGAGGCUGGGUCCUGUUUUUUGAUAGACCCUUGGUGGUGUCUUAUGGGUCCAAGGUUUAGUCUUUAGCUCUGCAGUUCCACAUUUUACCAGUGUGCCUGAAAUAACUCCUUAUCAACCUUCUUAGUGACAGGUUUAAACUAGACACUAUCUUAUUUACCACGGAAGGAUCUAUCUUUCUGAUGACCUGAAUACUUGUGUCCACUAUUGGGACACUCCUUUCUCAGUAUCAAGGUUCGUAAAAAAAAUUGAGGGCUGUGUAAUGAGCAAAGAAUUAAAAUGAAAGAAAAGAAAGUAAAAGAGAAAAAAACAAAAAAGAUUUUUAAAAAAAACGUGGGAGGAAAAGAAAGAAUUAAAAUGAAAAAAAAAAUGCGAUGGUCUUGAGGAGUAUUUACUUCAGACUUUGAAAUACCACAUGGAAUUCUGGAGUCUGACAGAAACUUUGUAAUACUUUUUUACUUUUCUCUUCUACUAAUUCCUAUCUCUGAAAUGUGUCACCUAGGAUCACCUAACCAUUGUCUCUGUUUUAAUUCCCACUCUAUAUUCUUAAAUUUCAAUUUACUGUUUGAAAAAGGUAGCACUUGCACAUGGUUCAAAAUUCCAAAGUCUAAAAGGGAAUGUGUACUGUGGAAAGUUGUGCUCCUGCCCCUGAUUCCCUCACCACCCUUUUCCCUUCCUGGAAAUAACCACUACAGGUAAUUUCUUAUGUGUCUUUUAGGAGAUAAUCUAUGCAUAGACCAGCAACUGCAUUUAAAUAUAGUCCUAUGCAGUGCUUUUGUGCAAACAGUAGGUGUAAUCCACCCUUCAUGGCACCUGGCAUUUUUCAAUUAAUAGUAUAACACGGAUAACCUGAAGAUUUGCAACAUCGAGGGGCUUCUUCAUUCUUUCCCUUGAAUUUUCUAAGGCUAUGCCUGGGCUACUUGUUUAAGUUGAACGACAUGCUGAAGUGAUUUGGAGACAUCUGAUCUCAUUAAAGGCAUCUUAGAAUAUGUCCCAGGCCCAUCCAUAGCACUAGAAGCCCACCUUUCAAGAGGCAAAGAAGCAGAGGAAUAGAAGGAGCAGUAGACUUGAUGUCAAAAUAGCCAUUUAAACUCCUUCACUCUGCUUAUUUUAGCUUUGUGACCUUCAGCACGCCAACGAACAUUGUCAGUUUAAGUUUCCUCCUUUGAAAAUAAAAGUGCUUUGUAAAUAAAAGUGUUACACAGAUGUAAGCAUUAUUUAUUAUUAACAUUGCUGAUCGUAUUUAUUUUAUCGUGAUUUUAUUCAUUUCCCUUUCUGACUUUAUACCCUUAAACACUCUAAUUCCUGGAAGCCACAGUUAUGAUGACUCACCCAAUAAUUCCCCAGUCCUUAAGCCAAACCAUUUCCUACACGUGGGGGUGCUGGCGUUUUUGCCCUUGUGCUUCACGAACCCUUGAGGAUGGCCUCCGGGUGCUUCCUGACUCUCUCACACUUGUGUGGAAGAUUGGACCAGGGGAUCUUUGUGUUGGGAUUUCCUAAUAGUAGUCCUAAUUAACUAAUCUUUGUGUUGGGAUUUCCUAAUAGUAGUCCUAAUUUUCUAAUAGUAGUCCUAGUUAGCUCCGGUAAAUUGAUCUAGCUUGGCUUUACAUUUGUUUUCUGUUGGUAGCUAACUCAUUCCUUGUUAAACAUCGUUCCUUAGAACAUAAACUUUCCUAUCAAUUUUUAAUUAUUUUAGCUGUAUCUAUGGCACCUUUUGAGAGGCUAAAAAAAUCCCAUCCAAUCUAGACAACAGAAAGAGUUUUGCUUUCACCUUUAGUCCAACAGCCUUCUCCAGCCAGGAUCAAAUAGCUUUCUGGGGUUUUACAGCUAGUACAACUGAAUUCUGACAGUUUUGGUCGGCUUGACACAGUUUUACUGAAAGUAACUUGUCCAAUUCCCUAUUAGGUUGUCUUUUAAUAUCAACGUGUUAAACCUGUUCCCUGGGAGAUACCUUCCUAUUUGUUCUCCUUGUACUUGAAAUAUCCUGUGGCAGUGGGACAGAGAUGACAAAAUGCCAUGACUUUUAGGGGGAA
Phyllostomus discolor (pale spear-nosed bat) is the source of this 2446-nucleotide long non-coding RNA. RefSeq lists it as uncharacterized. The transcript has 2 exons. The record is from RefSeq and is a predicted model, not a curated record. Lineage: Eukaryota; Metazoa; Chordata; Mammalia; Chiroptera; Phyllostomidae.